GUCUAUGGCCAUGCCACCCUGAACAUGCCCGAUCUCAUCUGAUCUCAGAAGCUAAGCAGGGUCGGGCCUGGUUAGUACUUGGAUGAGAGACCACUUAGGAAGACCAAGUGCUAUAGGUA
This 119-nucleotide ribosomal RNA is filed under the name Pteropus alecto (black flying fox). The record is from RNAcentral. Lineage: Eukaryota; Metazoa; Chordata; Mammalia; Chiroptera; Pteropodidae. RNAcentral also lists the same sequence under 1 other name.